UUUUACUCAUUGUCUGCCACAAAGCCUACUAUAUGCACUCAUCCUGCACCCUUUACGUUAACUCUCUCUAUACAAUGUAAAGCGUGACUGAAGAAUCAACCAACAUUUAUAUCAGCUAUUAUUAUAUAUUGAUGAAAGGCAAACAAUUAACAGA
This is a long non-coding RNA of Octopus sinensis (East Asian common octopus), 154 nucleotides long. RefSeq lists it as uncharacterized. The record is from RefSeq and is a predicted model, not a curated record. NCBI's taxonomy places the organism in Eukaryota, Metazoa, Mollusca, Cephalopoda, Octopoda, Octopodidae. The transcript has 3 exons.